AACGAACGCUGGCGGCAUGCCUAACACAUGCAAGUCGAACGAGACGUUCGGGUCUAUUGGCCCACGGGUGCGUAACGCGAGGGAACCUGCCCUUAGGGUCGGAAUAACUCCCCGAAAGGGGUGCUAAUACCGGAUAAUGUCUUCGGACCAAAGAUUUAUUGCCUUUGGAGGGUCCCGCGUUGGAUUAGCUAGUUGGUAGGGUAAAAGCAUACCAAGGGGACGAUCCAUAGAUGGGCUGUGAGGAUGAUCAGCCACACUGAGAGUGGGACACGGCCGAGACUCUUACGGGAGGCAGCAGUGCGGAAUAUUGGACCGCGGCCGAAAGCAUGAUGCACCAAUGCCGCGUGAGUGAUGAAGGCAUUAGGGUUGUAAAGCUCAUUUAACCGGGAUGAUAAUGACAGUACCGGGAGAAUAAGCCACGGCUAACUCCGUG
This 433-nucleotide ribosomal RNA is filed under the name uncultured bacterium. RNAcentral's name for it is "partial 16S ribosomal RNA". It matches the Rfam family "Bacterial small subunit ribosomal RNA", at positions 29 to 507 of the family's 1533-position model. The record is from RNAcentral.